RNAcentral lists this ribosomal RNA (944 nucleotides) under uncultured organism. RNAcentral describes it as "bacterial SSU rRNA". It matches the Rfam family "Bacterial small subunit ribosomal RNA", at positions 469 to 1411 of the family's 1533-position model. The record is from RNAcentral.
UUGACGGUACCCUACUAGAAAGGAGCCGCUAACUUCGUGCCAGAAGCGUCGGUAAUACGGGGGCUCCAAGCGUUAUCCGGUGUUAUUGGGCGUAAAGAGCCGUGUAGGUGGUUGGGUAAGUUAUCUUUCAAAUAUCUUUGCUUAACAAAGAGGAGGGGGAUAAUACUGCUCGACUAGAAUUUUCUCAAGGGAGAUCGGAACUGAGGGAGGAGUAGUGAAAUGCGUUGAUACCCUCGGGAACACCAGUGGCGUAGGCGGAUCUCUGGGAGAAGAUUGACACUGAGACACGAAAGCUAGGGGAGCGAAGCAGAUUAGAGACCUGCGUAGUCCUAGCCGUAAACGCAUGCUUGCUAGCUGCAUGAAUCUACCUUCGGGUGGUAUCGUGUGGCGAAGGUAACCCGUUAAGCAAGCCGCCUGGAAAGUACGGCCGCAAGGCUGAAAUUCAAAGGAAUUGGCGGGGAGGCACACAACCAGUGGAACAUGUGGUUUAAUUCGAGACUAACCGAAGAACCUCACCAGGGUUUGACAUGUAGCUGCACGUCUUAAGAAAUUAAGACUCUCUUGAAGGUGCUACACAGGUGCUGCAUGGCUGUCGUCAGCUCGUUCCGUGAGGAGUGCCCUUAAGUGGGACAACGAGCGCAACCCCUAUUACAUGUUAGAAAUGUCAUGUAAGACUGCCUUGCCAUUUGGCGGGGAGGAAGGAGGGGCAGACGUCAAGUCCGCAUGGUCCUUAUGCCCUGGGCUACACACAUGUUACAAUGAGUACGGCAAUGAGUCUGUCGCGAGCACGUAAGUGUAAGCUAAUCUCUUAAAUGUACUCUCAGUGGGGAUUGAGGUCUGCAACUCGACCUCAUGAACACGGAAUUGGUAGUAAUCGCGGGUCAGCUAUACCGCGGUGAUACGUUCUUGCCUCUUGCACACACCGCCCGUCAAACCAGCAAAGU